CCUACGGGUGGCAGCAGUGAGGAAUAUUGGUCAAUGGGCGCGAGCCUGAACCAGCCAAGUAGCGUGAAGGAUGACUGCCCUACGGGUUGUAAACUUCUUUUAUAAAGGAAUAAAGUGAGGCACGUGUGCCUUUUUGUAUGUACUUUAUGAAUAAGGAUCGGCUAACUCCGUGCCAGCAGCCGCGGUAAUACGGAAGAUCCGAGCGUUCUCCGGAUUUAUUGGGUUUAAAGGGAGCGUAGAUGGGUUGUUAAGUCAGUUGUGAAAGUUUGCGGAUCAACCGUAAAAUUGCAAUGGAUACUGGCAGCCUUGAGUGCAGUUGAGGUAGGCGGAAUUCGUGGUGUAGCGGUGAAAUGCUUAGAUAUCACGAAGAACUCCGAUUGCGAAGGCAGCUUACUAAACUGCAACUGACAUUGAUGCUCGAAAGUGUGGGUAUCAAACAGGAUUAGAUACCCCUGUAGUC
RNAcentral lists this ribosomal RNA (460 nucleotides) under uncultured bacterium. RNAcentral's name for it is "partial 16S ribosomal RNA". It matches the Rfam family "Bacterial small subunit ribosomal RNA", at positions 338 to 795 of the family's 1533-position model. The record is from RNAcentral.